UGGUCGAAGUUUUUCAGCUUUAGUGUUUGUCUCGUGGUUUUUGACUUUAUUGUACGCCCGCAGUAAUAACUGUUAACCUAUCAUGUGGGUAACGUUGUACUCGGUGGCAUUUUUAAGUGGAAGCUCUUUAGAGCUAAUAAGCGUUAGCCUAGCAGGCGUCAUCCACGUGCAACAGGUCGCGUGUUGGCCUGCAGAUCGUUAGAUCCUGUUUUAAAAGCAGCCUCAGUGCAGUUUAGUCCCGCUUACAUAUGAUGACAUAAUGUUGCUAGGGACAUCUGAGUCGAUGUGAAGUAAAGGCAACAUUCCUGACAAGACGGGGCAAAGGCUGUAAGAAACUGUGGGCCGAGCAGCUUAGCUGCACGGCUCCUGCUGCUGGCCAUGCAGCGUGUUUAGUGGGUGUAUAAAAUUGUGUGAAGUUAUGAGGAUUUUAAUUAAAAAUAUGUUUAACCUUCCUGUCGUGUUUGGGUUAAAUCUGACAGAUUUACACCUUAAAACACUCAAAAAUAUUGCAGUGAAUUUUGAGCCGGAGCACUAAAGGGGAUGGAUGUGAACACGACAGGAGGGUUUAAAUGUUUGCAGGUCUACAGACGGAUCCUCAAAGAUGAAGGAUCACGAUGCUCAUCCUGACUUCUCGAAAUCAGCAGAUGCUCGAUGGUGCUGUGAAAGACCAGAGAUAUGACUUGUCUGUAGGGGACUGAGGAGGUGUCCUCAGGUCCGAGUCCUAUCGCUAACAGAUGGUCCUGAUGUUGGAUCCAGAUGUGCAUUCUUGGAUCAGCUGCAGAAAGAGUCCCACAAAAGGCAAAGUGGAGAUGUGAACACCUUGCUGUCUGACUCGUUGCUGCUCUGCUGAACGAGCGGGCUCGCGACUCAUCACCAUUCAGAAGAUUAAACACUCAUGGUUGUAAUCUGUGUGAGGGAUGGAGAAGACCCAGUGUGGACGAAACCAGAGUGACUGAGAAGGAGAAAAGAUCAAGUUCUUUACCUGGUGUGAAGCCUCAGGCACUGAAGCACAAUCAAGCACAAGUCUGUCACUUCAUAAUAAAUCUAAAUGGUACAGUCUGGUGCUGCUUCCUCAAAAGCUGGAAAGGGAUGUUAUGUUGACAGACUUUCACCUGCAGGAAUCCGUUUUCAGACACUGCUCAUGCUAUUACGUGUGGAUUGUGACCUGAUCCUGUUGACGUCAAUUUGUAACAUAAUAAAAUAUUUUUGACCCA
Pelmatolapia mariae (spotted tilapia) is the source of this 1214-nucleotide long non-coding RNA. RefSeq lists it as uncharacterized. The transcript has 10 exons. The record is from RefSeq and is a predicted model, not a curated record. NCBI's taxonomy places the organism in Eukaryota, Metazoa, Chordata, Actinopteri, Cichliformes, Cichlidae.